This is a long non-coding RNA of Zalophus californianus (California sea lion), 1093 nucleotides long. Lineage: Eukaryota; Metazoa; Chordata; Mammalia; Carnivora; Otariidae. The record is from Ensembl.
AAGAUGCUGCAGCCCAAAGCCUGACACAUUGAAUACUUCGGCCAGUUGGAAGUCAGACACCUGUGUCCCGCACAGCAAUGAAGGCAGCUGCUGACACCAUCAGGGCCACAGUUUUGGCCGGAUUCCCUCAGCCUCAGGCCCAGGACUGUCGUGUGUAACUGAAGAGACACAGUGAGUCCCCUGAAGCAGAAGAGUUCAGAGCACCUCUCUCCUUGGGGCCGCCUUCUUAGGAGCAGAGAAGUGGACCAGUAGUCUCGUGGGAGUUGCAGCUUUACCGGUUGGCCAUCCAACACUUGACUUUGGGAUUGAUUCUUAACAAAACAUGAAUUCUUCUUCACUGUUGGUGCUAUGAGCUGCAGUUCCAAGAAUAGGGCUGCAAACCCAUGAUGGUGGAUGGUGAAAUAAGCAGAAAAGAGGCCAAAGGGUCAAGGAUAGAUCACCAAAUAUGGCACUGGAAGAUCUGCACUGGAGUCCUGGUUCUUCUCUCACUAGAAAACUCAUCCUGGAAAAGUGACUCAACUGAUUUGGGCCUCCAUUUCAGAUCUGAAACAUGAGUGGUUGUCCCAGAAGACCUCUAAAGUUUCUGUGAGAAUAUCACUGAGCCCUAAGUAGGUCACUUUUCGUAGAUUUUUCCACAUCUAAGUUGACCCUAGAAAGACUUUUCAAAUCUAUGUAAGUCAGUUGAAAAAAGAAAGACAAAGAAUAUAAGAGAGGAAAUGAUGAGUCUGUAGCUUUCCAUUUCUCAAUUUUUAAAAUCAAAGUUCUGGUAUUGUCUAUCAGAAUUUCCAUUGAUCAUGGAAAGGGCAGUAGACCUCUCCUCUGUCUUUGUUGUUGAUUAAUCAUCUUUCAUUUCUAUUCCACCCGAACUUAUAGGAGGGUUCUAUGUUUUUAUUUUUUUUGGUGCUUUGGUAGAGUGUGCGAACACUGUCAAUGCUGAUUUCUAAGAAGUAUUGGUGUUGAAAUUUAUCCUUGGUGUUUUGAUGUUUUGUCCCCCUGAUAUAAACUGGAAAAAGUCUCUCCCACAACUUGAAAACUGACAUGAAAAGCAAUGCUAACAGUAAAGAUUAUUCUUGUAAUGAAAAUAAAAAUGUUG